Neolamprologus brichardi is the source of this 274-nucleotide non-coding RNA. The record is from RefSeq and is a predicted model, not a curated record. Lineage: Eukaryota; Metazoa; Chordata; Actinopteri; Cichliformes; Cichlidae.
CAGGAGAAUCUGAGUUCUCACAGUGACCUUUCUGCCAGCAGCGACAGCCUGUCUGAAAACAAGGAAAAAAAACAAUGGUACAGCGGGAUGUUAAAGAAGAGGUGGAAACCAACACAAAGUCUUCAAACUGAUCAGGACAAUAAAGCAGACAGUAAUUCUGAAGACCUAGAAGAAGAGGAGAAAACAUCAGAGAUGCCUCAUGAAAAGGGAGGCUACUUGUUUGGUUUCCUUAAAAAGCCAAAAAAACCAGCCGCUGAGACGCCAACGCAGGUGA